CGCUGUACUCUUGUAGCAAGUCCGCUCGUGCCAUCCAGCAUUCGUUCCAAACGUGGAAGGUCCUGCAAGAGACAGCAUCACGUGCUUAUACCAAGGGACUGAGCCCUGAGGUACAGAUUGAACUUUAAAAUGGGAGCUUCUAAGCCUAAAAGGACAAUGAAUCCUGAAUGAUACAGGACAAAGCUUAAUGAUUCAGGAAUGGACCACAUAGAGCUCUAAGGCACUGCAUGUGAGUGGAGCUGGAGUGACUUGGAUGUGAGAUAUAUUAUGUCGUGAAUGUUCAGCCCCCAUAUUAAAUGGAGAAGCUGCAAAUAUUAAUGAAGUUACAAGAAACUUAGUUCUUUCAGGGGAAAUUUGACAUGUUCAUACCUGAAGACCAAGGGUUAAAGAGCAAAACAAAAGUGCCAAGACUUGCUGGAGAGGAGCUGUCACUUGAAGUAC
Molecule: long non-coding RNA, 441 nt
Organism: Harpia harpyja (harpy eagle)
Lineage: Eukaryota; Metazoa; Chordata; Aves; Accipitriformes; Accipitridae
Exons: 3
Source: RefSeq, a predicted model, not a curated record